CGGAGGGUGCGAGCGUUGUUCGGAAUCACUGGGCGUAAAGCGCGUGUAGGCGGCCCACUAAGUCUGAUGUGAAAGCCCGGGGCUCACCCCCGGAAGUGCAUUGGAAACUGGUGGACUCGAGUCCCGGAGAGGAGAGUGGAAUUCCUGGUGUAGCGGUGAAAUGCGUAGAUAUCAGGAGGAACACCGGUGGCGAAGGCGGCUCUCUGGACGGUGACUGACGCUGAGACGCGAAAGCGUGGGGAGCAAACAGGAUUAGAUACCCUGGUAGUCCACGCCGUAAACGAUGAGCACUAGGUGUCGCGGGUAUUGACCCCUGCGGUGCCGACGCUAACGCAUUAAGUGCUCCGCCUGGGGAAUACGGCCGCAAGGUU
This 371-nucleotide ribosomal RNA is filed under the name uncultured organism. Its description in RNAcentral is "bacterial SSU rRNA". It matches the Rfam family "Bacterial small subunit ribosomal RNA", at positions 526 to 895 of the family's 1533-position model. The record is from RNAcentral.